GGACAGCCUUCUGAAAGGAAGAUUAAUACAAGAUGGCAUCAUGAGUCCGCAUGUUCACAUGAUUAAAGGUAUUCCGGUAGACGAUGGGGAUGCGUUCCAUUAGAUAGUAGGCGGGGUAACGGCCCACCUAGUCUUCGAUGGAUAGGGGUUCUGAGAGGAAGGUCCCCCACAUUGGAACUGAGACACGGUCCAAACUCCUACGGGAGGCAGCAGUGAGGAAUAUUGGUCAAUGGGCGAGAGCCUGAACCAGUCAAGUAGCGUGAAGGAUGACUGCCCUAUGGGUUGUAAACUCCCCCCACAAAGGAAUAAAGUCGGGCAUGGAUACCCGUUUUGCAUGUACUUUAUGAAUAAGGAUCGGCUAACUCCGUGCCAGCAGCCGCGGUAAUACGGAGGAUCCGAGCGUUAUCCGGAUUUAUGGGGUUAAAGGGAGCGUAGAUGGAUGUUUAAGUCAGUUGUGAAAGUUUGCGGCUCAACCGUAAAAUUGCAGUUGAUACUGGAUAUCUUGAGUGCAGUUGAGGCAGGCGGAAUUCGUGGUGUAGCGGUGAAAUGCUUAGAUAUCACGAAGAACUCCGAUUGCGAAGGCAGCCUGCUAAGCUGCAACUGACAUUGAGGCUCGAAAGUGUGGGUAUCAAACAGGAUUAGAUACCCUGGUAGUCCACACGGUAAACGAUGAAUACUCGCUGUUUGCGAUAUACUGCAAGCGGCCAAGCGAAAGCGUUAAGUAUUCCACCUGGGGAGUACGCCGGCAACGGUGAAACUCAAAGGAAUUGACGGGGGCCCGCACAAGCGGAGGAACAUGUGGUUUAAUUCGAUGAUACGCGAGGAACCUUACCCGGGCUUAAAUUGCAGAUGAAUUACGGUGAAAGCCGUAAGCCGCAAGGCAUCUGUGAAGGUGCUGCAUGGUUGUCGUCAGCUCGUGCCGUGAGGUGUCGGCUUAAGUGCCAUAACGAGCGCAACCCUUGUUGUCAGUUACUAACAGGUUCCGCUGAGGACUCUGACAAGACUGCCAUCGUAAGAUGUGAGGAAGGUGGGGAUGACGUCAAAUCAGCACGGCCCUUACGUCCGGGGCUACACACGUGUUACAAUGGGGGGUACAGAGGGCCGCUACCACGCGAGUGGAUGCCAAUCCCCAAAACCUCUCUCAGUUCGGACUGGAGUCUGCAACCCGACUCCACGAAGCUGGAUUCGCUAGUAAUCGCGCAUCAGCCACGGCGCGGUGAAUACGUUCCCGGGCCUUGUACACACCGCCCGUCAAGCCAUGGGAGCCGGGGGUACCUGAAGUGCGUAACCGCGAGGAGCGCCCUAGGGUAAAACUGGU
RNAcentral lists this ribosomal RNA (1318 nucleotides) under uncultured organism. RNAcentral describes it as "SSU rRNA". It matches the Rfam family "Bacterial small subunit ribosomal RNA", at positions 141 to 1472 of the family's 1533-position model. The record is from RNAcentral.